This is a long non-coding RNA of Suricata suricatta (meerkat), 398 nucleotides long. RefSeq lists it as uncharacterized. The record is from RefSeq and is a predicted model, not a curated record. The transcript is spliced from 3 exons. NCBI's taxonomy places the organism in Eukaryota, Metazoa, Chordata, Mammalia, Carnivora, Herpestidae.
UCCCCUCUCCUCCAGCCCUGACCAGCCAGGAAGCUGAGCCCGGAGGAUGUGGUCUUGGGAAUGUGGAGGCACCAGUCACAUCAGCAUGGCCUGGCUUAGCCUGACUAAUGUGGUAAUUGAGAAAGGAAGUAUGGAUUGAAUAACCCUGAAUGAUGUCUAUCAGAUCCCUCCUCUAUCAGAAAAGGAGACCCAGUGCAGAAAGUAAUACAGUACAAGACCCUCUCUAACAUCCCUCCCUUGGUGGGCGCUGGCGCCAUGCCCCACAGUCAGACACAUUCAUGAUUCUGCAGCGAAUGCAUCAACAUUCACUUGGAGGAGUUUAAGUAGAAAUAAUAAAGGGCUUCUCCAGUUCAGAUCAAGUUUUGCUGCCAGGUAAGAGUUGUUCCAAUAUCAUAACA